RNAcentral lists this ribosomal RNA (440 nucleotides) under uncultured bacterium. RNAcentral's name for it is "partial 16S ribosomal RNA". It matches the Rfam family "Bacterial small subunit ribosomal RNA", at positions 338 to 795 of the family's 1533-position model. The record is from RNAcentral.
CCUACGGGAGACUGCAGUAAGGAAUAUUGCACACUGGGAGCAACCCUGAUGCAGCGACGCCGCGUGAGUGAAGAAGUAUUUCGGUAUGUAAAGCUCUGUCAGCAGGGAAGAAAAUGACGGUACCUGACCAAGAAGCCCCGGCUAACUACGUGCCAGCAGCCGCGGUAAUACGUAGGGGGCAAGCGUUAUCCGGAUUUACUGGGUGUAAAGGGAGCGUAGACGGCAGGGCAAGUCUGGAGUGAAAGGCGGGGGCUCAACCCCCGGACUGCUCUGGAAACUGCCAGGCUGGAGUGCAGGAGAGGGAAGUGGAAUUCCUAGUGUAGCGGUGAAAUGCGUAGAGAUUAGGAGGAACACCAGUGGCGAAGGCGGCUUACUGGACUGUAACUGACGUUGAGGCUCGAAAGCGUGGGGAGCAAACAGGAUUAGAUACCCGAGUAGUC